Lagopus leucura (white-tailed ptarmigan) is the source of this 197-nucleotide small nucleolar RNA. RefSeq annotates it as small nucleolar RNA SNORA74. The record is from RefSeq and is a predicted model, not a curated record. The transcript has a single exon. Lineage: Eukaryota; Metazoa; Chordata; Aves; Galliformes; Phasianidae.
UCCAGCGGUAGUCAGCUGUCCAGGGCAAUACUGUGCCUGUGGCGGUGUUACACUGCUGGGAGAUAAAAAUCAGUCAUCUCUUCUGGCUAUUGUCACUGUUCUGGUGACAGCUGAUGCCAAGAAGUGACGUGGUGCUUCCCUGAGAGUGUGCUGAGGGUUUCAUUUUGCUCUUCAGUGCUAGUCCGGAAGCAUACAUG